AGCGACUAAGCGUACACGGUGGAUGCCCUGGCAGUCAGAGGCGAUGAAGGACGUGCUAAUCUGCGAUAAGCGUCGGUGAGGUGAUAUGAACCGUUAUAACCGGCGAUUUCCGAAUGGGGAAACCCAGUGUGUUUCGACACACUAUCAUUAACUGAAUCCAUAGGUUAAUGAGGCGAACCGGGGGAACUGAAACAUCUAAGUACCCCGAGGAAAA
This 214-nucleotide ribosomal RNA is filed under the name Escherichia coli. RNAcentral describes it as "partial 23S ribosomal RNA". It matches the Rfam family "Bacterial large subunit ribosomal RNA", at positions 1 to 220 of the family's 2925-position model. Lineage: Bacteria; Pseudomonadati; Pseudomonadota; Gammaproteobacteria; Enterobacterales; Enterobacteriaceae. The record is from RNAcentral.